AACGAACGCUGGCGGCAGGCCUAACACAUGCAAGUCGAGCGAGGACUUCGGUUCUAGCGGCGGACGGGUGAGUAACGCGUGGGAAUGUGCCCUUCUCUACGGAAUAGCCCUGGGAAACUGGGAGUAAUACCGUAUACGCCCUAUUGGGGAAAGAUUUAUCGGAGAAGGAUCAGCCCGCGUUGGAUUAGGUAGUUGGUGGGGUAAUGGCCUACCAAGCCGACGAUCCAUAGCUGGUUUGAGAGGAUGAUCAGCCACACUGGGACUGAGACACGGCCCAGACUCCUACGGGAGGCAGCAGUGGGGAAUCGUAGACAAUGGGGGCAACCCUGAUCUAGCCAGGCCGCGUGAGUGAUGAAGGCCUUAGGGUUGUAAAGCGCUUUCAGCUGGGAAGAUAAUGACGGUACCAGCAGAAGAAGCCACGGCUAACUCCGUG
Molecule: ribosomal RNA, 433 nt
Filed under: uncultured bacterium
Lineage: Bacteria
Description: partial 16S ribosomal RNA
Rfam family: Bacterial small subunit ribosomal RNA
Source: RNAcentral